GAUGAAGAACGUAGCGAAAUGCGAAAAGUAGUGUGAAUUGCAGAAUUCAGUGAAUCAUCGAAUCUUUGAACGCACAUUGCGCCUCCUGGCAUUCCGGGAGGCAUGCCUGUUCGAGCGUCAUCAAACCCCAUCGUGCAAAUGAAUUAUUUUUUUUGCGCGGAAGUGACGAUUGAGCGAGAAUAACAAAUCCUCUCGCACCUCGUCGAAAUGAUUGCGGGCGGAAUUUGGGAUCGGGUUCCUCGGCGUAGUGUAUCAAUGCAUAUUUAUGCAACUUGCCGCGGAGUUGAGCCUGACCCACGCGUUCUCGCCGUACAAACACCUCAUUACUUUACAAGUUUUUGACCUCGGAUCAGGUAGGGAUACCCGCUGAACUUAAGCAUAUCAAUAAGCGGAGGA
This 396-nucleotide unclassified non-coding RNA is filed under the name soil metagenome. RNAcentral describes it as "partial contains 5.8S ribosomal RNA, internal transcribed spacer 2, and large subunit ribosomal RNA". The stretch from base 1 to 120 matches the Rfam family "5.8S ribosomal RNA", at positions 35 to 154 of the family's 154-position model. The record is from RNAcentral.